Molecule: long non-coding RNA, 189 nt
Organism: Carassius carassius (crucian carp)
Lineage: Eukaryota; Metazoa; Chordata; Actinopteri; Cypriniformes; Cyprinidae
Exons: 3
Source: RefSeq, a predicted model, not a curated record
CUCUGUCAUCUAAAGAUCUGACAUGUCAACCCAAAACCCCUUAUGAAAGCAGAGACUGUAUUUGGGUGAUUGUACUAGUUUGUGGUGCACUGCUUAUAUUAAUCUUACCUGUGAUUUCCUGGAAAUUGUGGUCAUGGCAUACAAAUGCAAUCACAAGAGAGGAAGCAACAGAAAUAACAACAGAUAUAU